This 73-nucleotide transfer RNA is filed under the name Ailuropoda melanoleuca (giant panda). It matches the Rfam family "tRNA". From Rfam's summary of the family: Transfer RNA (tRNA) molecules are approximately 80 nucleotides in length. Their secondary structure includes four short double-helical elements and three loops (D, anti-codon, and T loops). Further hydrogen bonds mediate the characteristic L-shaped molecular structure. tRNAs have two regions of fundamental functional importance: the anti-codon, which is responsible for specific mRNA codon recognition, and the 3' end, to which the tRNAs corresponding amino acid is attached (by aminoacyl-tRNA synthetases). tRNAs cope with the degeneracy of the genetic code in two manners: having more than one tRNA (with a specific anti-codon) for a particular amino acid; and 'wobble' base-pairing, i.e. permitting non-standard base-pairing at the 3rd anti-codon position. Lineage: Eukaryota; Metazoa; Chordata; Mammalia; Carnivora; Ursidae. The record is from Rfam by way of RNAcentral.
ACCUGGCUGGCUCAGUUGGUAGAGCAUGAGACUCUUGCUCUCUGGGUUGUGAGAUCGAGCCCCACGGCGGGUC